CGCCGCGUGGGUGAGGAAGGCCUUCGGGUUGUAAAGCCCUUUUAGUGGGGACGAAAAAAAUGACGGUACCCGCAGAAAAAGCACCGGCUAACUCCGUGCCAGCAGCCGCGGUAAUACGGAGGGUGCGAGCGUUAUUCGGAAUUACUGGGCGUAAAGCGCGUGCAGGCGGUUUGGUAAGUUCGAUGUGAAAUCCCUCGCCUCAAUCGAGGAAGUGCAUUGGAUACUGCCAGACUGGAGUGCAGGAGGGGAGAACGGAAUUCCCGGUGUAGAGGUGAAAUUCGUAGAUAUCGGGAGGAACAACAGUGGCGAAGGCGGUUCUCUGGACUGCAACUGACGCUGAGACGCGAAAGCGUGGGGAGCAAACAGGAUUAGAUACCCUGGUAGUCCACGCCGUAAACUAUGGAUACUAGAUGUCGGGAGUUCUUACCCUCUCGGUGUCGUAGCCAACGCGUUAAGUAUCCCGCCUGGGGACUACGGUCGCAAGAUUAAAACUCAAAGAAAUUGACGGGGGCCCGCACAAGCGGUGGAGUAUGUGGUUCAAUUCGAUGCAACGCGAACAACCUUACCUGGGCUUGACAUCCCACGCUACCCUGUGAAAGCAGGGGUUCCCUUCGGGGAC
RNAcentral lists this ribosomal RNA (619 nucleotides) under uncultured bacterium. RNAcentral describes it as "bacterial SSU rRNA". It matches the Rfam family "Bacterial small subunit ribosomal RNA", at positions 395 to 1027 of the family's 1533-position model. The record is from RNAcentral.